This 320-nucleotide ribosomal RNA is filed under the name uncultured soil bacterium. RNAcentral describes it as "bacterial SSU rRNA". It matches the Rfam family "Bacterial small subunit ribosomal RNA", at positions 26 to 351 of the family's 1533-position model. The record is from RNAcentral.
AGGACGAACGCUGGCGGCGUGCUUAACACAUGCAAGUCGAGCGGUAAGGCCUUUCGGGGUACACGAGCGGCGAACGGGUGAGUAACACGUGGGUGAUCUGCCCUGCACUUCGGGAUAAGCCUGGGAAACUGGGUCUAAUACCGGAUAUGACCUCCUAUCGCAUGGUGGGUGGUGGAAAGAUUUAUCGGUGCAGGAUGGGCCCGCGACCUAUCAGCUUGUUGGUGGGGUAAUGGCCUACCAAGGCGACGACGGGUAGCCGACCUGAGAGGGUCGACCGGCCACACUGGGACUGAGACACGGCCAGACUCCUACGGGAGCAG